UUUAAUAGUCGAACAGACUAGCUUGUGUAGCUACUACACUAGACAGCACCCAAAAUUCAACAUCGAGGUCACAAAAUCUUCUAUCGAUAUGGGCUCUCUAAAAGCAUUGUGCUGUUAUCCCUGAGGUAACUACUCUUUAACUUGUUUAAGAUCCUUAUACGGCUAUAUAGUUGACGUACAAACUAGAUGUGUUAGUUUACCGCCCCAGUUUGAUACAAUAAAGCCAAAGACCUAAAUUGUUUGGGUCUGAGCCCCAUGCUUCAUCAGCUCUGCAGGGUCUUAUCUUCCCAUUGAUUGAGCUUGAAGUUUUAAUCAAGCCCUUAAGUUACAGACUAUAGACUUACAAGUCGUCUUUCAUGAGCCCCUUCAUUCUAGACCCCAAUUAAAAGCCAAAUUAUUAUGCUACCUUUGCACAGUUAGGG
RNAcentral lists this ribosomal RNA (422 nucleotides) under Cytherissa lacustris. RNAcentral's name for it is "partial small subunit ribosomal RNA". Lineage: Eukaryota; Metazoa; Arthropoda; Ostracoda; Podocopida; Cytherideidae. The record is from RNAcentral.